RNAcentral lists this ribosomal RNA (876 nucleotides) under uncultured bacterium. Its description in RNAcentral is "bacterial SSU rRNA". It matches the Rfam family "Bacterial small subunit ribosomal RNA", at positions 17 to 906 of the family's 1533-position model. The record is from RNAcentral.
UUAUGGCUCAGGACGAACGCGGGCGGCGUGCUUAACACAUGCAAGUCGAACGGAAAGGUCUCUUCGGAGAUACUCGAGUGGCGAACGGGUGAGUAACACGUGGGUAAUCUGCCCUGCACUUCGGGAUAAGCCUGGGAAACUGGGUCUAAUACCGGAUAGGACCUCGAGGCGCAUGCCUUGUGGUGGAAAGCUUUUGCGGUGUGGGAUGGGCCCGCGGCCUAUCAGCUAGUUGGUGGGGUGACGGCCUACCAAGGCGACGACGGGUAGCCGGCCUGAGAGGGUGUCCGGCCACACUGGGACUGAGAUACGGCCCAGACUCCUACGGGAGGCAGCAGUGGGGAAUAUUGCACAAUGGGCGCAAGCCUGAUGCAGCGACGCCGCGUGGGGGAUGACGGCCUUCGGGUUGUAAACCUCUUUCAGCAGGGACGAAGCGCAAGUGACGGUACCUGCAGAAGAAGCACCGGCCAACUACGUGCCAGCAGCCGCGGUAAUACGUAGGGUGCGAGCGUUGUCCGGAAUUACUGGGCGUAAAGAGCUCGUAGGUGGUUUGUCGCGUUGUUCGUGAAAUCUCACGGCUUAACUGUGAGCGUGCGGGCGAUACGGGCAGACUGGAGUACUGCAGGGGAGACUGGAAUUCCUGGUGUAGCGGUGGAAUGCGCAGAUAUCAGGAGGAACACCGGUGGCGAAGGCGGGUCUCUGGGCAGUAACUGACGCUGAGGAGCGAAAGCGUGGGGAGCGAACAGGAUUAGAUACCCUGGUAGUCCACGCCGUAAACGGUGGGUACUAGGUGUGGGUUUCCUUCCUUGGGAUCCGUGCCGUAGCUAACGCAUUAAGUACCCCGCCUGGGGAGUACGGCCCGCAGGCUAAAACUCAAAG